Molecule: ribosomal RNA, 253 nt
Filed under: uncultured bacterium
Lineage: Bacteria
Description: partial 16S ribosomal RNA
Rfam family: Bacterial small subunit ribosomal RNA
Source: RNAcentral
CACGUAGGGCGCGAGCGUUGUCCGGAAUUACUGGGCGUAAAGGGCUCGUAGGCGGCCAACUAAGUCGGACGUGAAAUCCCUCAGCUUAACUGGGGAACUGCGUCCGAUACUGGAUGGCUUGGAUUUGGGAGAGGGAUGCGGAAUUCCAGGUGUAGCGGUGAAAUGCGUAGAUAUCUGGAGGAACACCGGUGGCGAAGGCGGCAUCCUGGACCAAUAUUGACGCUGAGGAGCGAAAGCCAGGGGAGCAAACGGG